Molecule: ribosomal RNA, 484 nt
Filed under: uncultured bacterium
Lineage: Bacteria
Description: partial 16S ribosomal RNA
Rfam family: Bacterial small subunit ribosomal RNA
Source: RNAcentral
AUUGAACGCUAGCGGGAUGCUUUACACAUGCAAGUCGAACGGCAGCGCGGACUUCGGUCUGGCGGCGAGUGGCGAACGGGUGAGUAAUGUAUCGGAACGUGCCCAGUCGCGGGGGAUAACUACGCGAAAGCGUAGCUAAUCCCGCAUACGCCCUACGGGGGAAAGCAGGGGAUCGUAAGACCUUGCACUAUUGGAUCGGCCGAUAUCGGAUUAGCUAGUUGGUGAGGUAACGGCUCACCAAGGCGACGAUCCGUAGCUGGUUUGAGAGGACGACCAGCCACACUGGGACUGAGACACGGCCCAGACUCCUACGGGAGGCAGCAGUGGGGAAUUUUGCACAAUGGGGGCAAGCCUGAUCCAGCCAUCCCGCGUGUGCGAUGAAGGCCUUCGGGUUGUAAAGCACUUUUGGCAGGAAAGAAACGUCGCGUGCUAAUACCCCGUGGAACUGACGGUACCUGCAGAAUAAGCACCGGCUAACUACGUG